ACCUGGCUGGUUCAGUCUGAAGAGCGUGUGACUCUUGAUCUUGGGGUCAUGGGCUUGAGCCCCAUGCUAGGUG
RNAcentral lists this transfer RNA (73 nucleotides) under Felis catus (domestic cat). It matches the Rfam family "tRNA". From Rfam's summary of the family: Transfer RNA (tRNA) molecules are approximately 80 nucleotides in length. RNAcentral also lists the same sequence under 2 other names. Lineage: Eukaryota; Metazoa; Chordata; Mammalia; Carnivora; Felidae. The record is from Rfam by way of RNAcentral.